Molecule: ribosomal RNA, 688 nt
Filed under: Burkholderia ubonensis
Lineage: Bacteria; Pseudomonadati; Pseudomonadota; Betaproteobacteria; Burkholderiales; Burkholderiaceae
Description: bacterial LSU rRNA
Rfam family: Bacterial large subunit ribosomal RNA
Source: RNAcentral
GGACAGUGCAUGGUAGGCAGUUUGACUGGGGCGGUCUCCUCCCAAAGCGUAACGGAGGAGUACGAAGGUACGCUAGGUACGGUCGGAAAUCGUGCUGAUAGUGCAAUGGCAUAAGCGUGCUUAACUGCGAGACCGACAAGUCGAGCAGGUGCGAAAGCAGGUCAUAGUGAUCCGGUGGUUCUGUAUGGAAGGGCCAUCGCUCAACGGAUAAAAGGUACUCUGGGGAUAACAGGCUGAUACCGCCCAAGAGUUCAUAUCGACGGCGGUGUUUGGCACCUCGAUGUCGGCUCAUCUCAUCCUGGGGCUGUAGCCGGUCCCAAGGGUAUGGCUGUUCGCCAUUUAAAGAGGUACGUGAGCUGGGUUUAAAACGUCGUGAGACAGUUUGGUCCCUAUCUGCCGUGGGCGUUGGAUAUUUGAAGGGGGCUGCUCCUAGUACGAGAGGACCGGAGUGGACGAACCUCUGGUGUACCGGUUGUGACGCCAGUCGCAUCGCCGGGUAGCUAUGUUCGGAAGAGAUAACCGCUGAAAGCAUCUAAGCGGGAAACUCGCCUUAAGAUGAGAUAUCCCUGGAGGCUUGACCUCCUUGAAGGGUCGUUCGAGACCAGGACGUUGAUAGGUCAGGUGUGUAAGCGCAGUAAUGCGUUCAGCUAACUGAUACUAAUUGCCCGUAAGGCUUGAUCCUAUAACA